This is a long non-coding RNA of Paramormyrops kingsleyae, 1539 nucleotides long. RefSeq lists it as uncharacterized. The record is from RefSeq and is a predicted model, not a curated record. Lineage: Eukaryota; Metazoa; Chordata; Actinopteri; Osteoglossiformes; Mormyridae.
UCGAAUUUAUCGACGGCAAAAGCCGCCGUGCCUUAGCAAUUUGCCGUGCUGCCCUGAAUAUUUACAAGUUCUUGCCGGCAGAUACUUGCAGUGCCCUCUUCCUCAGUUGCCUUUGUGCCCUAUUGUGUAUGUUUAGAUCAUAAUAAAGUCAAUAAACUUAUGAAGUCAAGAACAAGUUCUUCCGUUUUUUACUUCUCUGUCUCCAUGUCCAUGAUAUCUAGGUUGAUAAGCGCAUCCCAUAAUUUUACGUUAGCCACGCCUCCAUGGUUAAAUUAUUCAGAGCGGCUAUUCUAGCCGAUGCUUACCUCCCUCCGAAACUAAUAGCAACAUGUUCAUAGAAUAGGGAGGGUGAGAAGGAGAAAAUGCCUAAGUGCCCUCCUAUAUUUGAGGGGAUAAAAGGCAAACAUUGCUGUGCCCCCCGAACAAAGUAAUUCUACCCCUGUAAAGCAUAUACGAUAUGUAGAAUAGUAGAAAAGUUGUCAUAUUUAUUAACGAAGAGAGGGCCCUGUUUUUCAUGGCCUGGGCGAGCCUAAGGCUUUGUAUUUCACUGCUGUCCAUGGAAGAGGUUUUAAAGGCACAUCUGAAUUUGACGUUCUGGGGAAUCACCAUAUGGAGGUGUCGGUGACAACCGUAACACUUCCUUUGCGGAAGCCUCCUGCAGCUGCGAGGCAGACGCUAAUGGAUACCAUGACUUUGCCGGCAGGCAGGAAGGUGGUUUUGGUGAAGGCGAAGGUGGUUGCAGCAUCACCAGCAAAAACUGUCUCCAUCAGAGGGACGGAGAAGGCGGUCAAGAGCUGCACGGUGGCCGACGGCACUGCCCAGAUGCCUCUAUCUUUGGGAGAGGCACAUUGUGGUGCUGCGCUCCGCCUUCACCAAUCUCACCACCAGAGUCUUCCAGGGAAAAGUGGAACUGACAACGUUGCACGCCGAAAUUCAGUAUAUCGCCGAUUUGAAUAAGAGGUGGAAGACGUGCAGGAGGAAUCGGGCGUGACUGUUAAAGGUCAAAUGUGCUCUCUGCGGCAGCCGGCAUGAGGCGUGGGACACCCAUUGCAGGUUUGCAUGCUGCCAGACCUGCAGGAUGCUCCAAAAGUGCGAGUCCUUUGCAAAGGUACUGCGGGGAACUGUAAAAGUGAAAGCCGAGGACCGCACCGAGUACACACUGGCCAUCGGGCACUCCCCUCUAACGGAGUACUUCGCACUACGCCUAAUGACCACCAAAAAAGCCCUCAUUGAGGAACAUAAUCUUGAUGAGGAAUGUUUUGUGUUUAGUUUUGAUGACUGCAAUGUGCUGUCUAUGGACAUUACUGAUAGUGAAGUCCCUACCUGUAGUAACACUGUGUAAUGAGUUGUAGUUUGAGUUUGUCAAGUUUUUGUAUUGGCAUGUUUUUGUUUACUUAAAAUGUGUUCUGUUGCUGUGAUUUAUUAUUAUUAUUUUAUUAUUUAUUUUUUUUUAUUUUUUUUGACAUUUUGUAAAUGGCCAUAUUGUAUUGGGCAUUUUUUAUUUGACAUCUCGGUUAAAUACAGUGGGUACGGAAAGUA